AUUGAACGCUGGCGGCAUGCCUUACACAUGCAAGUCGAACGGUAACAGGUCUUCGGAUGCUGACGAGUGGCGAACGGGUGAGUAAUACAUCGGAACGUGCCUAGUAGUGGGGGAUAACUACUCGAAAGAGUGGCUAAUACCGCAUACGACCUGAGGGUGAAAGGGGGGGAUCGCAAGACCUCUCGCUAUUGGAGCGGCCGAUAUCAGAUUAGCUAGUUGGUGGAGUAAAGGCCUACCAAGGCAACGAUCUGUAGUUGGUCUGAGAGGACGACCAGCCACACUGGGACUGAGACACGGCCCAGACUCCUACGGGAGGCAGCAGUGGGGAAUUUUGGACAAUGGGCGCAAGCCUGAUCCAGCAAUGCCGCGUGCAGGAAGAAGGCCUUCGGGUUGUAAACUGCUUUUGUCAGGGAAGAAAUCUUCUGGGCUAAUACCCCGGGAGGAUGACGGUACCUGAAGAAUAAGCACCGGCUAACUACGUGCCAGCCGCCGCCGUAA
RNAcentral lists this ribosomal RNA (498 nucleotides) under uncultured bacterium. RNAcentral describes it as "partial 16S ribosomal RNA". It matches the Rfam family "Bacterial small subunit ribosomal RNA", at positions 30 to 523 of the family's 1533-position model. The record is from RNAcentral.